RNAcentral lists this ribosomal RNA (296 nucleotides) under uncultured bacterium. RNAcentral's name for it is "partial 16S ribosomal RNA". It matches the Rfam family "Bacterial small subunit ribosomal RNA", at positions 218 to 507 of the family's 1533-position model. The record is from RNAcentral.
CGAUUGGAUGAGCCAUGUCGGAUUAGCUAGUUGGCGGGGUAAUGGCCCACCAAGGCGACGAUCCGUAGCUGGUCUGAGAGGAUGAUCAGCCACACUGGAACUGAGACACGGUCCAGACUCCUACGGGAGGCAGCAGUAGGGAAUAUUGGACAAUGGGCGCAAGCCUGAUCCAGCCAUGCCGCGUGAGUGAAGAAGGCCCUCGGGUUGUAAAGCUCUUUUGUCCGGAAAGAAAAGCGCCGGGUUAAUACCCUAGUGUCCUGACGGUACCGGAAGAAUAAGCACCGGCUAACUUCGUG